RNAcentral lists this ribosomal RNA (94 nucleotides) under Fuscocephaloziopsis pulvinata. RNAcentral describes it as "partial 18S ribosomal RNA". It matches the Rfam family "Eukaryotic small subunit ribosomal RNA", at positions 1737 to 1831 of the family's 1831-position model. Lineage: Eukaryota; Viridiplantae; Streptophyta; Jungermanniopsida; Jungermanniales; Cephaloziaceae. The record is from RNAcentral.
CGGUGACGUUGUGAGAAGUUCAUUAAACCUUAUCAUUUAGAGGAGGAGAAGUCGUAACAAGGUUUCCGUAGGUGAACCUGCGGAAGGAUCAUUG